GUGGGGAAUCUUGCGCAAUGGGCGAAAGCCUGACGCAGCCAUGCCGCGUGAAUGAUGAAGGUCUUAGGAUUGUAAAAUUCUUUCACCGGGGACGAUAAUGACGGUACCCGGAGAAGAAGCUCCGGCUAACUUCGUGCCAGCAGCCGCGGUAAUACGAAGGGGGCUAGCGUUGCUCGGAAUUACUGGGCGUAAAGGGCGCGUAGGCGGACAGCUUAGUCAGAGGUGAAAGCACAGGGCUCAACCUUGGAAUUGCCUUUGAUACUGGCUGUCUUGAGUUUGGGAGAGGUGAGUGGAACUCCGAGUGUAGAGGUGAAAUUCGUAGAUAUUCGGAAGAACACCAGUGGCGAAGGCGACUCACUGGCCCAAUACUGACGCUGAGGCGCGAAAGCGUGGGGAGCAAACAGGAUUAGAUACCCGUGUAGUCC
This 425-nucleotide ribosomal RNA is filed under the name uncultured bacterium. RNAcentral describes it as "partial 16S ribosomal RNA". It matches the Rfam family "Bacterial small subunit ribosomal RNA", at positions 354 to 796 of the family's 1533-position model. The record is from RNAcentral.